This 478-nucleotide ribosomal RNA is filed under the name uncultured bacterium. RNAcentral's name for it is "partial 16S ribosomal RNA". It matches the Rfam family "Bacterial small subunit ribosomal RNA", at positions 28 to 523 of the family's 1533-position model. The record is from RNAcentral.
AACGAACGCUGGCGGCGUGCUUAACACAUACAAGUCGAACGGUAAGGCCCUUCGGGGUACACGAGUGGCGAACGGGUGAGUAACACGUGGGUGAUCUGCCCUGCACUUCGGGAUAAGCCUGGGAAACUGGGUCUAAUACUGGAUAGGACCCUGGGAUGCAUGUCCUGGGGUGGAAAGCUUUUGCGGUGUGGGAUGGGCCCGCGGCCUAUCAGCUUGUUGGUGGGGUGAUGGCCUACCAAGGCGACGACGGGUAGCCGGCCUGAGAGGGUGACCGGCCACACUGGGACUGAGAUACGGCCCAGACUCCUACGGGAGGCAGCAGUGGGGAAUAUUGCACAAUGGGCGCAAGCCUGAUGCAGCGACGCCGCGUGAGGGAUGACGGCCUUCGGGUUGUAAACCUCUUUCAGCACCGACGAAGCGCAAGUGACGGUAGGUGCAGAAGAAGGACCGGCCAACUACGUGCCAGCCGCCGCCGUAA